RNAcentral lists this ribosomal RNA (983 nucleotides) under human gut metagenome. Its description in RNAcentral is "bacterial LSU rRNA". It matches the Rfam family "Bacterial large subunit ribosomal RNA", at positions 1945 to 2925 of the family's 2925-position model. The record is from RNAcentral.
ACGGUCCUAAGGUAGCGAAAUUCCUUGUCGGGUAAGUUCCGACCUGCACGAAUGGCGUAACGACUUCCCCACUGUCUCGACCAGGAGCUCGGCGAAAUUGCAGUACGAGUAAAGAUGCUCGUUAAGCGCAGAAGGACGAAAAGACCCCGGGACCUUUACUAUACCUUGGUAUUGGCGUUAGGCGCGGAUUGUGUAGCAUAGGCGGGAGGCUUCGAAGCGGGUGCGCCAGCAUUCGUGGAGCCGCAAGGUGAAAUACCGCUCUGUUCUCGUUUGACGUCUAACCUCGACAAGUCAUCCUUGUCAGGGACAGUGCCUGGCGGGUAGUUCAACUGGGGCGGUUGCCUCCCAAAGAGUAACGGAGGCGCUCAAAGGUCCGCUCAGCCCGGUUGGCAAUCGGGUGUCGAGUGUAAUCGCACAAGCGGGCUUGACUGCGAGGACGACGGUCCGAGCAGGGACGAAAGUCGGAGAUAGUGAUCCGGUGCCGGCGCACGGGCGCGGCAUCGCUCAACGGAUAAAAGGUACCCCGGGGAUAACAGGCUGAUCAUUCCCAAGAGUCCAUAUCGACGGGAUGGUUUGGCACCUCGAUGUCGGCUCGUCGCAUCCUGGGGCUGGAGCAGGUCCCAAGGGUUCGGCUGUUCGCCGAUUAAAGCGGCACGCGAGCUGGGUUCAGAACGUCGUGAGACAGUUUGGUCUCUAUCCUCUGCGCUCGUUGGAAUCCUGAGGAGGCCUGCCCAUAGUACGAGAGGACCUGGGUGGACGAACCUCUGGUAUGCCGGUUGUCGCGCCAGCGGCACGGCCGGUUGGCUACGUUCGGGAGGGAUAACCGCUGAAAGCAUCUAAGCGGGAAGCCUGCUCCAAGAUUAGGAUUCCGUACGGUCUUGAACCGUUGUAGCCCGCAUGUUGAACACGUGUUUGAUAGGCCGGAGGUGGAAGUCCCGUGAGGGGUGGAGCCGACCGGUACUAACGGGCGACGGCGACACAAC